Molecule: long non-coding RNA, 358 nt
Organism: Arachis duranensis
Lineage: Eukaryota; Viridiplantae; Streptophyta; Magnoliopsida; Fabales; Fabaceae
Exons: 3
Source: RefSeq, a predicted model, not a curated record
UAAACACAACAGCAGCUGAAGUGAGGAGAGAGGUGAGAGCUUUCCACCAUUGUUACUAUUCACUUCAAACUUCCCAAGCUCAUAUCUUGAGCUACGGAGCUCCGAUCGCCGCACCAUUUGCGGCUACGCGUUCCUUGUGAAGAGCUCUACAAAACCCACCCAAGAAACCCUCAAGGUUUGCUCUAAUCCUUGCUUAGCUUUGGAUUUGUGUUAUCAAAUCUGUUGGGAAAGUUUGAUUAUUGUGGCUUUGGGAGCUUUUGGAACUUAUUUGUGCUUGUUGGAGUGGAUUUGAAAGCUUGGAUUGUGGUUGGAAGCUUGUUGUGGUUCAUUUUGAGUUUGGGUGCAUAAAGGGAAUCGG